RNAcentral lists this transfer RNA (70 nucleotides) under Camelus bactrianus (Bactrian camel). It matches the Rfam family "tRNA". From Rfam's summary of the family: Transfer RNA (tRNA) molecules are approximately 80 nucleotides in length. The record is from Rfam by way of RNAcentral. Lineage: Eukaryota; Metazoa; Chordata; Mammalia; Artiodactyla; Camelidae. RNAcentral also lists the same sequence under 2 other names.
GGGGACAGCUCAGUGGUAGAGCACAUGCUUAGCAUGCAUGAGGUCCUGGACUCAAUCCCCAGUGCCUCCU